RNAcentral lists this long non-coding RNA (883 nucleotides) under Homo sapiens (human). RNAcentral's name for it is "non-protein coding lnc-HIST1H2AG-6:1". The record is from RNAcentral. Lineage: Eukaryota; Metazoa; Chordata; Mammalia; Primates; Hominidae.
GCCCAGAGGUCAGAAGUGAGAUAUACCCAUAGAUCCCAGACCUCCCGGACCAGAUUGUGCCGCAAACGAAAGGCCAGCUCGAGCUCCCACAGCUCUCCGGAAGGCCUCCCAGAACUAAAGCGGAGGAGGGUGUCAGCCUCAUCCCGCUGCCAGCUGGCCCUCGGUUCCUCAAAGACAGUGAGUUAGGACGGACCUCAGGCUGUCUCUUCGGGUCACACCCGGUGUGAAAAGGCGGCAGAUACAGCACCAGGGCAGACACUCACCCCCAGGGGUGGCUCCCCGUGAUCCCAGGCCUCUAGGCCCCGCAUCAACAGUGCACUGCACGUUGAGGACAAGGCCAUCUCGGACUGCAGACCCUCACGGCCUUCCCACACUGUCCUCACUUGCAACAGGGGCUUCUGGUGGGCCUCCCGUUUCUAAAGCACCCACUAUGGAUGCACAGCAGGACAGACCCAAGUCCCAAGACUGCCUGGGCCUAGUGGCCCCCCUUGCAUCUGCUGCAGAGGUCCCCUCUACAGCUCCCGUGUCUGGGAAGAAGCACAGACCACCAGGACCCCUGUUCUCCUCCUCAGAUCCCUUUCCUGCCACCUCUUCCCACUCCCGGGACUCAGCCCAGGUCACCUCGCUGAUUCCUGCGCCCUUCACAGCUGCAAGCAUGGAUGCCGGCAUGAGAAGAACAAGGCCUGGCACGUCGGCUCCUGCAGCUGCCGCGGCAGCCCCUCCCCCCUCCACAUUGAACCCCACGUCGGGGUCACUACUCAAGGCAGUGGAUGGAGGCCCUUCACAUUUCUGGGCCUCAGCCACAGCUGCAGCAGGUGCCCAGAGGUCAGAAGUGAGAUAUAACCAGAGAUCCCAGACCUCCCGGACCAGAUCGUGCCGCAAA